RNAcentral lists this ribosomal RNA (1987 nucleotides) under metagenome. Its description in RNAcentral is "bacterial LSU rRNA". It matches the Rfam family "Bacterial large subunit ribosomal RNA", at positions 1 to 2009 of the family's 2925-position model. The record is from RNAcentral.
GAAAGUUACUAAGGGCGCAUGGGGAAUGCCUAGGCUCUCAGAGGCGAAGAAGGACGUGAUAAGCUGCGAAAAGCACCGGGGAUCCGCAAAUAGGAAUCGAUCCGGUGAUGUCCGAAUGGGGAAACCCGUAUUGAUGAAGUCAAUACAUCCUGGCAACAGGAAGCAAACCCGGAGAACUGAAACAUCUAAGUACCCGGAGGAAGAGAAAACAACAGUGAUUCCGUAAGUAGUGGCGAGCGAAAGCGGAAGAGCCCAAACCCUUCCCGUUAAGGCGGUAAGGGGGUAGUAGGACCACAUUUAGUUAGUAUUAACGAAUCGGAAUUACCUGGGAAGGUAAGCCAGAGAGGGUGAAAGCCCCGUACGGGCAAGUUAGUAUUGAUGAGUGGUAUCCUGAGUAAGGCGGGGUCGGAGACGCCCCGUUUGAAACAGCCGGCACCAUCCGGUAAGGCUAAAUACUACUGAGAGACCGAUAGUGAACCAGUACUGUGAAGGAAAGGUGAAAAGAACCUUGAAUAAAGGAGUGAAAUAGAACCUGAAACCAUGCGCUUACAAGCGGUCAGAGCCCCUUCGUGGGGUGAUGGCGUGCCUUUUGCAUAAUGAGCCUACGAGUUGCACCUCUUUGGCAAGGUUAAGUACUUAUAGGUACGGAGCCGGAGCGAAAGCGAGUCUGAAAAGGGCGUAUAGUCAGAGGGGGCAGACGCGAAACUUUGUGAUCUACCCAUGACCAGGUUGAAGGGUGGGUAACACCACCUGGAGGACCGAACUAAUGAGCGUUGAAAAGCUCUUGGAUGAGUUGUGGGUAGGGGUGAAAGGCUAAUCAAACUGAGAAAUAGCUCGUACUCCCCGAAAUGUCUUUAGGGACAGCCUCGAGGUUAAGUUUUAAAGAGGUAGAGCUACCAAUUGGACUAGGGGGUGUCACAACCUACCAAAUCCAGAUGAACUCCGAAUGCUUUAAAAUAUACUCGGGAGUGAGGGCUGGGGUGCUAAGGUCACAGUCCGAAAGGGAAAGAACCCGGAUCAACAGCUAAGGUCCCAAAAUCUACUCUAAGUUGAACUAAGGUAGUCCAGCUGCAGAGACAGCCAGGAGGUUUGCUUGGAAGCAGCAAUUCCUUUAAAGAGUGCGUAACAGCUCACUGGUCGAGCGGCAGGGCAUCGAUAAUAAACGGGCAUCAAGAGUAGUACCGAAGCUAUGAAUGUAGAAAUACGUGGUAGGGGAGCAUUCUGUUCAGCGGCGAAGGCCAGUUGUAAGACUGACUGGAGCGGAUAGAAAAGCAAAUGUAGGCAUAAGUAACGAUAAAAUAGGUGAGAAACCUAUUCGCCGAUAGACUAAGGUUUCCUGAUCAACGUUAAUCGGAUCAGGGUUAGUCGGGACCUAAGGAAAAGCCGAAAGGCGUAUCCGAUGGACAUCAGGUUAAUAAUCCUGAACCGGCAUUAUGAGCGAUGGGGAGACGGAGUAGUGACACAUCUGCGCACAGACGGAAUUGUGCGUUAAAUCCAGUAGGUAUAGAGAGGGUAGGCAAAUCCGCCCACUUUGCUGAAAGGAGACAGUACCAAGCGGCUUCGGCCAAUUGGAUAAUGAUGGUAAACAGACUUCCAAGAAAAUCCUCUAAGCAUAUUAUAAUGCAGCCCGUACCGCAAACCGACACAGGUAGUCAAGGAGAGAAUCCUAAGGCGCUCGAGUGAGUCACGGCUAAGGAACUCGGCAAAUUAACCCUGUAACUUCGGAAGAAGGGGUGCCCUGAGCAAUCAGGGCCGCAGUAAAAUGGCCCAGGCGACUGUUUAACAAAAACACAUGGCUUUGCGAAAUUGCAAGAUGAAGUAUAAGGCCUGACACCUGCCCGGUGCUGGAAGGUUAAGGGGGGAUGUUAGCCGCAAGGCGAAGCAUUGAACUGAAGCCCCAGUAAACGGCGGCCGUAACUAUAACGGUCCUAAGGUAGCGAAAUUCCUUGUCGGGUAAGUUCCGACCUGCACGAAUGGUGUAACGAUC